GACCUCAAAUCAGGUAGGACUACCCGCUGAACUUAAGCAUAUCAAUAAGCGGAGGAAAAGAAACUAACAAGGAUUCCCCUAGUAACUGCGAGUGAAGCGGGAAAAGCUCAAAUUUAAAAUCUGGCGGUUCCGCCGUCCGAGUUGUAAUCUGGAGAAGCGUUUUCUGUGUCGGCCCGUGCAUAAGUCUCUUGGAACAGAGCGUCAUAGAGGGUGAGAAUCCCGUCUUUGGCACGGACUACCGCUGCUAUACGAUACGCUCUCGAAGAGUCGAGUUGUUUGGGAAUGCAGCUCAAAAUGGGUGGUAAAUUCCAUCUAAAGCUAAAUAUUGGCGAGAGACCGAUAGCGAACAAGUACCGUGAGGGAAAGAUGAAAAGCACUUUGGAAAGAGAGUUAAACAGUACGUGAAAUUGUUGAAAGGGAAACGCUUGAAGUCAGUCGCGUCGCCUGGGACUCAGCCUUGCUUCUGCAUGGUGUACUUCCCUUGUGACGGGUCAACAUCGAUUUUGUCCGGCGGACAAGGCGGAGGGAAUGUGGCACCUUUGUGUGUGUUAUAGCC
RNAcentral lists this ribosomal RNA (556 nucleotides) under uncultured fungus. RNAcentral describes it as "eukaryotic LSU rRNA". It matches the Rfam family "Eukaryotic large subunit ribosomal RNA", at positions 1 to 560 of the family's 3401-position model. The record is from RNAcentral. Lineage: Eukaryota; Fungi.